CAGAUGUCUGGGGCGCAGAUCAAAAUUGCGAACCCAGUGGAAGGAUCUACUGAUAGGCAGGUUACCAUCACUGGAUCUGCUGCCAGCAUUAGCCUGGCUCAAUAUCUAAUCAAUGUCAGGCUUUCCUCGGAGACGGGUGGCAUGGGGAGCAGCUAGAACAAUGCAGAUUCAUCCAUAAUCCCUUUCUGCUGUUCACCACCACCCAUGAUCCAUCUGUGUAGUUUCUGAACAGUCAGCGAUUCCAGGUUUUAAAUAGUUUGUAAAUUUUCAGUUUCUACACACUUUAUCAUCCACUCGUGAUUUUUUAAUUAAAGCGUUUUAAUUCCUUUCUCUGUUCAGCUGUUGAUGCUGAGAUCCAUAUUUAGUUUUAUAAGCUUCUCCCUGGUUUUUUUUUUUUGGCUCAUGAAUUUUUCUGUUUGUCAUGGAAAUGUAAGAGUGGAAUAUUAAUACAUUUCAGUUUAGUUCUGUAAUGUCAGGAAUUUUUCAAAAAAAUUAAAAGAUGGACUGGAGCUUUUUCUUUGUGAAUAGAAACUGGAUGCCACAGUGAUUCAUGUGGGUUUUAUUCCUCUUGUCUUGCUGUUAUUUUUGUACCUUUUAUCCCUCAAAGGACCCUUCUUGGGUUUUGAAUGGAAGCCUUUAUUCCGGUUAAGAUGUUUUCUUCUAUUUUACCACUUCCAUCUUUUUUUGUGGCCCUCGAUCCUAUUUUUCCCUGACUCCAUGCUUGGUUGGCCCUUAUAAAACUUGUGCCCAAAAGAUUGAGGAUUAGACUUUCCGAGGACUUACCUGUCCUAGGGGAGUAGGCAAGCACUUCCACUAGGGAGGGGGUGGGGGAAAGGAAUGACACAUGACAUACAUGGCAUACACAUUAAGCAGUUGAUCAUAUGUCUGACUGGGUUCCAGUUUCUUGGGAAUGUUGGUCCCCUUGUUCAGGCUUGCAUAUUUUAAACUAAAAAUUUCAGUCUAUUGUUUUUAGUAACUUCAUUUAUAGUCCUCCAUAACAAGUUAGAAGGAUGUAUCUGCUACCAUUUAUUCCUAUAAUUUUAGAAAGUUGGGGCUUGACAUUAUACUCAUUUAGUGAGAGUAGAUGCAAAAAAGUGGAGGGGCAGGAGAACUUCUCCAGACACCUCAGAUAAAGUCCGGAGCCCAAGGCUUUAUCUUAACCAUGUAUGGUACCCCAUUCAUUCAUCAAGAAAACCCUCAACAGCUGGGCCUGCAUGGAGUGUUAUAUUUCAAGGUUUUUCACAGGGGUUACAGUAGGACAGUCCCCACCCCAAUCAGGCACCAGGAUAAAAGCAGGGACUUAAACAGCACCCCGGUUCUUCAGCCUGAGCCAUCACAUGCUAUCAGUCUCCUAACCUCCCCCUGGGCCUUAAGACAGGGCUUGGGCAGAGAAGAUAAAUGGUGGGACAAAAAAAUGAGUUACAUUGCCACCUGAGAAACCUCAGAGGGGAGGACCCAGCCUUAGCCUCCCUCCUCCCAAGUGCAAAAUGUGUAAACAGAGUAAACGGAACAGAAAAGUG
RNAcentral lists this long non-coding RNA (1520 nucleotides) under Homo sapiens (human). Its description in RNAcentral is "HSALNT0189343". The record is from RNAcentral. Lineage: Eukaryota; Metazoa; Chordata; Mammalia; Primates; Hominidae.